UACGUAGGUGGCAAGCGUUAUCCGGAUUUAUUGGGCGUAAAGAGAACGCAGGCGGUCUUUUAAGUCUGAUGUGAAAGCCUUCGGCUUAACCGGAGUAGUGCAUUGGAAACUGAGAGACUUGAGUGCAGAAGAGGAGAGUGGAACUCCAUGUGUAGCGGUGAAAUGCGUAGAUAUAUGGAAGAACACCAGUGGCGAAAGCGGCUCUCUGGUCUGUAACUGACGCUGAGGUUCGAAAGCGUGGGUAGCAAACAGG
RNAcentral lists this ribosomal RNA (253 nucleotides) under uncultured bacterium. RNAcentral describes it as "partial 16S ribosomal RNA". It matches the Rfam family "Bacterial small subunit ribosomal RNA", at positions 524 to 776 of the family's 1533-position model. The record is from RNAcentral.